GGGAAGUAAAAAGUCGUAACAAGGUUUCCGUAGGUGAACCUGCGGAAGGAUCAUUAUCGAGUUUUGAAUGGGUUGUCUGCUGGCUCGCAAGGGCAUGUGCACGCCUGUCUCAUCCACUCUCAACUUCUGUGCACUUUUCAUAGGCCGGCUUGUGGGUGCGUUCGCGCACUUGUAGGUGUCGGGCUUAUGCUUUACUACAAACGAUUCAGUUUUAGAAUGUCAUACUUUGCUAUAACGCAAUUUAUAUACAACUUUCAGCAACGGAUCUCUUGGCUCUCGCAUCGAUGAAGAACGCAGCGAAAUGCGAUAAGUAAUGUGAAUUGCAGAAUUCAGUGAAUCAUCGAAUCUUUGAACGCACCUUGCGCUCCUUGGUAUUCCGAGGAGCAUGCCUGUUUGAGUCUCAUGGAACUCUCAACCUUCAGCUUUAUUGAUGAAGGCUUGGACUUGGAGGUCGUGCCGGCUCUCGUAGUCGGCUCCUCUGAAAUGCAUUAGUGCGAACGUUACCAGCCGCUUCAGCGUGAUAAUUAUCUGCGUUGCUGUGGAGGGUAUUCUAGUGUUCACGCUUCUAACCGUCUUCGGACAAAUUUCUGAACUCUGAGCUCAAAUCAGGUAGGACUACCCGCUGAACUUAAGCAUAUCAAUAAGCGGAGGA
RNAcentral lists this ribosomal RNA (652 nucleotides) under Bjerkandera adusta. RNAcentral's name for it is "eukaryotic LSU rRNA". The stretch from base 250 to 403 matches the Rfam family "5.8S ribosomal RNA". Lineage: Eukaryota; Fungi; Basidiomycota; Agaricomycetes; Polyporales; Phanerochaetaceae. The record is from RNAcentral.